This 253-nucleotide ribosomal RNA is filed under the name uncultured bacterium. RNAcentral's name for it is "partial 16S ribosomal RNA". It matches the Rfam family "Bacterial small subunit ribosomal RNA", at positions 524 to 776 of the family's 1533-position model. The record is from RNAcentral.
UACGUAGGCAGCGAGCGUUGUUCGGAAUUACUGGGCGUAAAGAGUGUGUAGGCGGUGCUCUAAGUUCGGUGUGAAAUCUCCUGGCUCAACUGGGAGGGUGCGCCGGAAACUGGAGUGCUUGAGCGUGGGAGAGGAAAGCGGAAUUCCUGGUGUAGCGGUGAAAUGCGUAGAUAUCAGGAGGAACACCUGUGGUGUAGACGGCUUUCUGGACCAUAGCUGACGCUGAGGCGCGAAAGCUAGGGGAGCAAACAGG